GCUUACGCCGUGCAUAGAGGCGCUGAGAUACUGGGAGUGAAGACGGUGUGCUGAAUUACUGGGCGGAAAGCGCGAUCAGGCGGUGUGUUAGAGAUGAAGUAAAAUCCCGUGGCUCAACCCCGGAAGUAGAUUGGAAACUAGGAUACUAGAGUAACGGAGAGGGGGGUAGAAUUCCUGGUGUAGCGGUGAAAUGCGUAGAUAUCAGGAGGAACACCAGUGGCGAAGGCGACCCUCUGGACGGAUACUGACGCUGAAACGCGAAAGCGUGGGGAGCAAACAGGAUUAGAUACCCGAGUAGUC
Molecule: ribosomal RNA, 300 nt
Filed under: uncultured Bacillus sp.
Lineage: Bacteria; Bacillati; Bacillota; Bacilli; Caryophanales; Bacillaceae
Description: bacterial SSU rRNA
Rfam family: Bacterial small subunit ribosomal RNA
Source: RNAcentral